This is a non-coding RNA of Ictidomys tridecemlineatus (thirteen-lined ground squirrel), 73 nucleotides long. NCBI's taxonomy places the organism in Eukaryota, Metazoa, Chordata, Mammalia, Rodentia, Sciuridae. The record is from Rfam.
GGAAAUGUAGCUUGGUGGUAUAGUGCUUGCCUAAGCAUGUGCAAGACCCUGGGUUCAAUUCCCAGUACUGCCU